RNAcentral lists this small RNA (502 nucleotides) under Pongo abelii (Sumatran orangutan). RNAcentral describes it as "retained intron". The record is from RNAcentral. Lineage: Eukaryota; Metazoa; Chordata; Mammalia; Primates; Hominidae.
GUGGUUUGCUGCCAAGGAGAGAAGAGAAAGACUGAAAAUUCCUCCAUCACUUGCUUACGUAUUCAGCUCUUACUGAACAAAACAUCUUAUUCUUACUUUCUAGGGGACAGAUGAUUUCUGCUGAAGAUUGUGAGUUUAUUCAGAGGUUUGAAAUGAAACGGAGCCCUGAAGAGAAGCAAGAGAUGCUUCAAACUGAAGGCAGCCAGUGUGCUAAAACAUUUAUAAAUCUGAUGACUCAUAUCUGCAAAGAACAGACCGUUCAGUAUAUACUAACUAUGGUGGAUGAUAUGCUGCAGGAAAAUCAUCAGCGUGUUAGCAUUUUCUUUGACUAUGCAAGAUGUAGCAAGAACACUGCGUGGCCCUACUUUCUGCCAAUGUUGAAUCGCCAGGAUCCCUUUACUGUUCAUAUGGCAGCAAGAAUUAUUGCAAAGUUAGCAGCUUGGGGAAAAGAAUUGAUGGAAGGCAGUGACUUAAAUUACUAUUUCAAUUGGAUAAAAACUCA